Long non-coding RNA from Dalotia coriaria, 505 nucleotides. RefSeq lists it as uncharacterized. NCBI's taxonomy places the organism in Eukaryota, Metazoa, Arthropoda, Insecta, Coleoptera, Staphylinidae. The record is from RefSeq and is a predicted model, not a curated record. The transcript has 3 exons.
AAUGCGAGUUGCGGUUUUGCUGGUGAGCUACAACUGUGUUCUAUAUAGGUAGAAGUAUUGAGUACGUAAGUACCUACCGAUAUUGGGUAUGGAUUAAGCAGAGUUGAAGUUUUCGAGUUGUGGAGUGUAGAGUUAACUAUGGUCUAACUAUCACUUGUUAAUUCUGUGAGUGUUUGUGUUAGAAGUUAGAGAGUUCAAUGGUGUGGAAAAAAAUCUUGCGGUGAAUAACGUGGGGGAGAGUAGAGGUUGCUAGGCAGCGAAGUAGUUGCUAAGCAACGAAAUAAACAAAGGGGUCGUCAGUUUUGUUCGUGAUUAACGAGGGGGAGAGUAAACGUUACUAAGCAACGAAGUGGUUGCCAAGCAACGAAACAAACAAAGGGGUCGACAGAUAGUAAGAUUAAUACUAAAGAUCACAAUUUUACAAAACCUUUGUAUUCAGUUAGAAAAAUAAGUUUGCGGUGUUAAGAUGUGAAUAACUAAAGAACUUCUGAUCCGAUUUUUAAAA